Molecule: long non-coding RNA, 2213 nt
Organism: Diabrotica virgifera virgifera (western corn rootworm)
Lineage: Eukaryota; Metazoa; Arthropoda; Insecta; Coleoptera; Chrysomelidae
Exons: 2
Source: RefSeq, a predicted model, not a curated record
GGGAUUACGAACACUCGAUACGAAUCGUAUCCGCCAUGUUUUCCCGUAAGGCGCUAUGGGAAAACAUGGCGGAUACGAUGCGUAUCGAGUGUACGUAAUCCGGGCCCUGAUAAAAGAGAGAUUUGAAAGAGAAAAAUAUUUCCAGUGUGUUCCAAUGCAGGAGAACAAUUUAUGAAGAAUCUUAAUCCAGGAUUGCAACAAUUAAUAGAUGGUAUUUUGGAAGGCACCCACCAAUAAAUGUUACCACAUCCUUCAACUACAAGAUCUUGGCACAGUAUAAACUGUGAUCUUGGCUCAAAACGAUUAACUAUGAAUCAGCCAUAUCCUCUGAGGCCAUUGAAACUGUUAAGAGACUCAUUCAAAUAGGGCGAGAUAAAAAACUGUUCUUCAUCAGUUUGGUUCUCGUUGACAUCUCAAUUAGCAGUCAGAGUGUGUGGAAUAGUGUAAAUUAUAAGGAAUACCUUGAUUUAGGAAUGUCCAAUGAAAGCUCGAAUGAUAAUGCACCUUUAUCAUCAUAUGCCUUGAUUUUUAUGAUUGUAUGCAUCAAUAGUUUUUUCCAAAAACCCAUUGCCGAUUAUUUUACAAAUUUUCUAACAACUGAGCAAUUAGUAACUCAAACUAAAUCAAUUAUCACUGAAUGCUUUUUGAAUGACAUCAAUAUUUGCACUACAACUUUCGUUGGGCCUGCAUCAAAUGUUAUUAUGGGAGAAGAACUUAGAACUAAUAUUUGACUCAUAUGCUUCAUUCAAGUACUUCAAUAAAUAUGAGAUUUUUAUAACUUAAGAUACGUAUCAUAUGUUGAAGUUAAUCCGUAAUCAAAUUGCAUCAUGAUAUAUAACCGAUAAGGAUGAUAAAGUUAUAUCUUGGUGCUAUAUUAAUUCUUUGCAUCGUUUACAUUAAUCGGAAAAAUGCACUCUACUACAAAAAUUAAUAAACAUUUAUUUUUUAACAGCGAAAAAAUGAAGGUUUUUCUGGUGGUGCAGAUGCUCUCGAAUUUUGUGAAUUCGAUUUAGAGCUUGAGGAGUUUAAAGGUGCUAGUGCAACAGCUCGAUUUUGUUUAAUUAUUGAUCACUAUUUUGAUCGUUUAACACAAUAAAUUUGUUGAACAAAAAACCACCUAUAACUAAAAGUAAUUUAGAAGAAAUGCAUGUAAAAAUAGAAAGAUACGUAAAUUAUAUUAAGAGCCUAAAAAUUGGCGAUGUAUCCAGAAUUUCUUGUAUGUUCUAGCAACAAAAUUAUUCAAAAAAAUAGUUAGUGCAAUGUUUAUUACAUACAAAUUGUUGUAUAAAAAAAAUAAGACCAUAUAGAAAUGUUUUAUUCUUAUAUUAGAAAUGACAGUGGUUUUAACAAUAAUUAACUCCCAUGCAAUUAUUAAAGUUCCUUUAUCUGCCAAGUGUAGCAUCUCCAAAAGAUGACAACUGCUCAGAAAAACCAAAACAAAGAUGAUAAACCUGACAUUGUCAAUGGCCUAAAGGGAAUUCCUGAGAUUGAAGAGAAUUUAGAUAAUAUCAGCAAUCAUGCAGGAUGUAAUAUCUUAUAUUUCUGGUUCUGCUGUUAAAAGAUAAAAAUUACAUGUAAAUAAUUUCUUAAAAGCAUUGAGCUCGAUGAGAAAAGUACCAUAUUCAUCUUUGCAAAGUAGAAAAAGUUACGGAACUAUAACUUAAGCAACCAAAAAUAUUAUUUGCCAAGUAGCAGAGAUAAUUUUUUGGGCUCAAAAUAUAUUUUUUUUUUGAAAAACAUGCUUGAAAUAAUGACUUUGUUUGAUUUAUUAAGUACAUAAAUCAAUGUUUGCUACUGAUAAUAGGUUUGUUCGUAGAACGAUCAGCAACCGUUGCCAACCGUCAGACGCAAGCGUGUUCGUAGUCUAUGAACUCGAACUGUUAACUGCGCAUGCAUCUGAUGGUUGGCAACGGUUGCUGAUCGAUUGGAUCGUACUACGAACAAACCUAUUGUUUACAAUCAAGCCCAUAUAGCCAACUGACCAACUAUUGCAAGUAAUUAGAUUACCUAAUUUAAAAAAAAAUAUGAUACCUAUGAUAAAGUUGCAUUAUAGAGCUACAAGUUUGAAAAAGAAUGAAGAAAUAAUAAGUUGUUAUUAUUUAAGAAUCAAUAAUUUAAAUAUUUUUUGUUCAAAGCUUUAUUUUAAUUUUUUUCGAUUUUCUGAAUUUUUGUAUUUUGUGUAUUAAAAGGAAUAAAACUAAAAUUCUACUGUU